GUCGACAACAGAGUUUGAUCAUGGCUCAGGACGAACGCUGGCGGCGUGCCUAAUACAUGCAAGUCGAACGAACGGAGGAAGAGCUUGCUCUUCCAAAGUUAGUGGCGGACGGGUGAGUAACACGUGGGCAACCUGCCUGUAAGUUGGGGAUAACUCCGGGAAACCGGGGCUAAUACCGAAUGAUAGAGUGUGGCGCAUGCCACGCUCUUGAAAGAUGGUUUCGGCUAUCGCUUACAGAUGGGCCCGCGGUGCAUUAGCUAGUUGGUAGGGUAAUGGCCUACCAAGGCAACGAUGCAUAGCCGACCUGAGAGGGUGAUCGGCCACACUGGGACUGAGACACGGCCCAGACUCCUACGGGAGGCAGCAGUAGGGAAUCUUCCGCAAUGGACGAAAGUCUGACGGAGCAACGCCGCGUGUAUGAAGAAGGUUUUCGGAUCGUAAAGUACUGUUGUUAGAGAAGAACAAGGAUAAGAGUAACUGCUUGUCCCUUGACGGUAUCUAACCAGAAAGCCACGGCUAACUACGUGCCAGCAGCCGCGGUAAUACGUAGGUGGCAAGCGUUGUCCGGAUUUAUUGGGCGUAAAGCGCGCGCAGGCGGUCUUUUAAGUCUGAUGUGAAAGCCCCCGGCUUAACCGGGGAGGGUCAUUGGAAACUGGAAGACUGGAGUGCAGAAGAGGAGAGUGGAAUUCCACGUGUAGCGGUGAAAUGCGUAGAUAUGUGGAGGAACACCAGUGGCGAAGGCGACUCUCUGGUCUGUAACUGACGCUGAGGCGCGAAAGCGUGGGGAGCAAACAGGAUUACAUACCCUGGUAGUCCACGCCGUAAACGAUGAGUGCUAAGUGUUAGGGGGUUUCCGCCCCUUAGUGCUGCAGCUAACGCAUUAAGCACUCCGCCUGGGGAGUACGACCGCAAGGUUGAAACUCAAAGGAAUUGACGGGGGCCCGCACAAGCGUGGAGCAUGUGGUUUAAUUCGAAGCAACGCGAAGAACCUUACCAGGUCUUGACAUCCUUUGACCACUCUGGAGACAGAGCUUUCCCUUCGGGACAAAGUGACAGGUGGUGCAUGGUUGUCGUCAGCUCGUGUCGUGAGAUGUUGGGUUAAGUCCCGCAACGAGCGCAACCCUUGAUUUUAGUUGCCAGCAUUUAGUUGGGCACUCUAAAGUGACUGCCGGUGCAAGCCGAGGAAGGUGGGGAUGACGUCAAAUCAUCAUGCCCCUUAUGACCUGGGCUACACACGUGCUACAAUGGAUGGUACAAAGGGUCGCGAAGCCGCGAGGUGGAGCCAAUCCCAUAAAACCAUUCUCAGUUCGGAUUGUAGGCUGCAACUCGCCUACAUGAAGCCGGAAUCGCUAGUAAUCGUGGAUCAGCAUGCCACGGUGAAUACGUUCCCGGGCCUUGUACACACCGCCCGUCACACCACGAGAGUUUGUAACACCCGAAGUCGGUAGGGUAACCUUUAUGGAGCCAGCCGCCGAAGGUGGGACAGAUAAUUGGGGUGAACUCGUAACAA
This 1510-nucleotide ribosomal RNA is filed under the name Listeria innocua. Its description in RNAcentral is "16S ribosomal RNA". It matches the Rfam family "Bacterial small subunit ribosomal RNA". Lineage: Bacteria; Bacillati; Bacillota; Bacilli; Caryophanales; Listeriaceae. The record is from RNAcentral.